Oxyura jamaicensis (ruddy duck) is the source of this 2949-nucleotide long non-coding RNA. RefSeq lists it as uncharacterized. The transcript has 2 exons. NCBI's taxonomy places the organism in Eukaryota, Metazoa, Chordata, Aves, Anseriformes, Anatidae. The record is from RefSeq and is a predicted model, not a curated record.
UCUAGCGGUCUCACCAGCGGCACAGUGCAUACCCAAACCUCCCUAGGGUGACAUCAUCCCAUAUAUGGACUCUCAGGCCCAGCCCUCCCCCUUUUCCUGGUCCUAAAUUCAUUGCCAGAUCCCCAGUCUGCUGCAAAUGUGCCACGUCAAGACUGGAAAUCACAGCACUUCAGUGUGUUUCAGUUUUGCACACUAGGGAAUAAGAAACGCUAAGGGACACUGUGAAAAAGGAGGACUGCAGAAUAAUGCGGGGAAGACAUUCUGGUAAGGCCUACUUUGGAAGAACACCUGGCCUAUGACCUGGCGAACCUAGGUGACUCCCCCCCCCCUUCCUCCAGUCAUCACUGCAAGAAAGAUGGAGCUCUGAUGAUUUACUAAAACCUAUGCAAGAAAUGAGCGAGGUAUACUACCUAGAGGUAUACUGCUUAGAGAAGUGUACAAGAGCAUAGUUAAAGUCGGGCAUUUCUUUUUUUUUUUUAAUUUAAAAUAAAGCUUAUUUUUCCCCACAAACUAAAAAGGUAAAUUUAAUUUAUUUUUUUAACUUGUAGCAAUCCGUAUAAAUAUUUAAGGAGUAUAUCUUUUCUUAACGCAGAAAAGGCUUGCUAGAAGUAUGUAUUCUGCAUAGCUCCUGUUAUGAACUAUGAUCUGAAGAUCAAUUUUAAGAAAUUAUUUUCUCUUAAGUAAUAAAGUAAUAGAAAAGAAUGCAUGAUUAUUAUUUUAAACUAUUGUAAAAUAUAUAUAUAUAUAUCACUGCUGGGAGAACUGUACUUUGAUUUUACAUGCAACUGAAACUUCUUUGCAAGUAACCUAUGCUAAAUGUGCUAAUGAAAACUGGGGGGGAUGCCAUAGGGAAUAUAAGACUACUCCGUGCUUGGCUUCUGCCGUGUAGGAUACAAAAUAUUUGAUUGUCAGGAAAAAUUACCUCUGAAAGUGCAGGACAUGAUGGAAAAUAAAUAAAUAAAUAAAUAAAUAAAACAGAACAAGCAGCUUUCCAUCCCAAUACCUGCCUGGCCAUUGCUUAUAAGUGAUCAGCACCAAUUGAUUGCUGCUGCUCUUGUGUAUAGCUUGCAUUGCUGAUAUUUCUUCUAACAUUCUAACAUCUUCUAACAUAACGAUAAGUUACUUUGUCCUGAAUCCCACUGAUAGAAAUGGAAUUUGUAAACGAAUGCAGAAGUUUGCUUUGGUGAAUUUCCAGCUGUCCUGGUAGGGGAAAAAAACCCUCAGGCUGAAUGAAAUCCCCACGGACAGAAUAAUACAAGAAGUCUGGGCUGCAAUUUGAUACCAGCUGAACACCAGAGUCAGCUCCCCUAAAGUUAACACUAGUAACAAACUACUGCAACUGGAAAAAAAAUCCCACCUAUAUGGUGCUCGUUAUUGCCAGGAAGGCUUUCAAUAUUUGUACUAUAAAAAGAAUUAGCAGAAAUAUGCAGCCAUUAGUAUUAUAACCAGUCAAUUUUAGAGAAUGAACGUUAUAUUUCAGACAGCCUUGAUGCUGUACGAGUUUUAAAUAUAUAUAUAAUUAUUACCUUUUUCAUUGCUCCUUCAAUAAUCAAUAGAAGUCCUAUUGGGAAGAGCUGGUCACGUAGAAUUCGCGUGACCGUACCUAUGCUGGCUGCCUUAAAACCUAGGAAGCAAGAACUAUCACUGUCAUUUCCCUUACCCUCCCAUCAAAGCUUAUGUAUUUUGACUAAAAGUAUUAUUGCUUUUUAUAUUGUAGAUAUACUCUAGGUUGCCCACUCUCUCCUCCUUUAUUUCACCAAAGAUUAUCUUUAGAAUUAAAUUAGUGGAUUUUAAUCCGUUAGUCUUAGUAGGAGGAAGUUUUGCCCUCGUCGUGCUUUGAAGUGAAGUUACAAGAUAGUUAAAUGUAAUUAUUAAUAGCAAAUCUGAAGACACAAGAAUAAAUUAAAAUAAUGGAACCAGAUUCAGACUUGCAUUAAUAUUUCUGAAUCUUUGAGUCUGAUUGCUGUUUUAGGCAUAGCAAAUCUGAAAAGUUGUGUGACAGAUUUUGUUUAAGCAGUAGGAAAAUGGCUUUCAAGUCGCAUCGAGAAAGUUGCUCGGUUAUGCUUUCAAGGGGAAAAUGCUUGCUUGCAAAUUUUUUUAAUCUGUUGCUUAUUUGCAUAGCCACUUUUAUUAUUUUUUAUAAUUCUGAUCUAGAAAUUUAAAAAGUAUUGUUAUCCAGUCAGUAAUAGGCGUUUAAUGCAAGCAGCGUUCAAGAUAGCUUGUGUCAGCUUCUGCUAUGUAAGCAAGGACAAUGAAAACAUAUGGAACCAGUGUUUCUCUUAUCUCUAGUCUGCUAUUUGCAUUAAUCUUUAUUUUAAAUGACCUUUCUGGAUUUAGGAAGUGAUUCCCCUCCCAUACACCCAUGACUCUUCAAAGUUACAUUUUUAGACUGUAAGGCUGAGAUCUAGGAGGCCCCCUUGGCUUCGGGCUUGGAAAGGGAGGGGAGGGGGGAUUGCAGUGCGCAAAGCAGCAGAUAGAGAAAGAAAGCCUGCAUUGUUAGCAAUGAAUAAGGAAGUAUAACUGCUUCGGCUCAGUAAGCAAAACAUUUUCAAAGUGAAUUAAGUGAUUCUCUGGUUCUUAAAACAGCGCUGUUUUGGAUGAAACAAAUUCUAGUUGAUCAUAAUCGUAGCAGAAGAGAUUUCCAUAGUUAUAAAAAAUAGGUUUUAAACAUGCAUGCCAAUAAAGACAAGGUAGCUGCAUACAAUUUUUUCAUGACUUUUUGCAAUGACUUUUUGACUAUUUUUUUUAGUAAUUGCAAAAAGUAUUAGCAAAUAUUAGCAAGGUGACUACAUACUAAAUCACGGAGAGAGCUUUGUGCAGUCAGGAUACCAGUGCUUAAACCCGUUAUGUGAGUUAAAGGAUACGAUUCUUAUUAACACAGAAGGCCAAAAAAAAAAAAAGGGGGCAAAUUAAAGCCAGUAUGAACAUUUAAAGAGGUCAGCGUUUCAA